Molecule: non-coding RNA, 46 nt
Organism: Nelumbo nucifera (sacred lotus)
Lineage: Eukaryota; Viridiplantae; Streptophyta; Magnoliopsida; Proteales; Nelumbonaceae
Source: Rfam
ACAUCGGUGCCAUUCGGCACCACAUCAUCAAAGUGCCAAUAAACAU